AAUCUGUUAAUGAAACCCCUUGUGAUGGGUUACAGCAGCAGCUGUUGCAACACCCCUCCCCCUUGUCCUACACAGGGAGGUUUCUGGUUUGAGGUUGCCCUGUGGUGGCCUCAAACUUUCUGGGAGAAUUCUAGAUUAGCUCUCAGCUUGUUGUGUGUGGUUUUGGAUGUAUAUUAUAAGCGGCUGUUGGCAUCUAUGAUGAACAGGCUACACAACAAAUUCAAGACCAGAAGACAAAAAGGCAGUGGAUGUAGUCAUUCUCUGGAAAAAUUAAGACACCGAUGUCUUUGAGGUGCAUGACGAACCACAGUGGGUCUUGGGAGUAUUUGCAGAAAGCGCAGUGACCUCUGAC
This 352-nucleotide long non-coding RNA is filed under the name Anser brachyrhynchus (Pink-footed goose). RNAcentral describes it as "lncRNA (ENSABRG00000013077.1)". Lineage: Eukaryota; Metazoa; Chordata; Aves; Anseriformes; Anatidae. The record is from RNAcentral.